UAUACAUGCAGUCGAGCGGACAGAAGGGAGCUUGCUCCCGGAUGUUAGCGGCGGACGGGUGAGUAACACGUGGGUAACCUGCCUGUAAGACUGGGAUAACUCCGGGAAACCGGAGCUAAUACCGGAUAGUUCCUUGAACCGCAUGGUUCAAGGAUGAAAGACGGUUUCGGCUGUCACUUACAGAUGGACCCGCGGCGCAUUAGCUAGUUGGUGAGGUAACGGCUCACCAAGGCGACGAUGCGUAGCCGACCUGAGAGGGUGAUCGGCCACACUGGGACUGAGACACGGCCCAGACUCCUACGGGAGGCAGCAGUAGGGAAUCUUCCGCAAUGGACGAAAGUCUGACGGAGCAACGCCGCGUGAGUGAUGAAGGUUUUCGGAUCGUAAAGCUCUGUUGUUAGGGAAGAACAAGUGCAAGAGUAACUGCUUGCACCUUGACGGUACCUAACCAGAAAGCCACGGCUAACUACGUGCCAGCAGCCGCGGUAAUACGUAGGUGGCAAGCGUUGUCCGGAAUUAUUGGGCGUAAAGGGCUCGCAGGCGGUUUCUUAAGUCUGAUGUGAAAGCCCCCGGCUCAACCGGGGAGGGUCAUUGGAAACUGGGAAACUUGAGUGCAGAAGAGGAGAGUGGAAUUCCACGUGUAGCGGUGAAAUGCGUAGAGAUGUGGAGGAACACCAGUGGCGAAGGCGACUCUCUGGUCUGUAACUGACGCUGAGGAGCGAAAGCGUGGGGAGCGAACAGGAUUAGAUACCCUGGUAGU
Molecule: ribosomal RNA, 760 nt
Filed under: Bacillus altitudinis
Lineage: Bacteria; Bacillati; Bacillota; Bacilli; Caryophanales; Bacillaceae
Description: bacterial SSU rRNA
Rfam family: Bacterial small subunit ribosomal RNA
Source: RNAcentral